GAUGAACGCUGGCGGCGUGCCUAAUACAUGCAAGUCGAGCGAACGGACGAGAAGCUUGCUUCUCUGAUGUUAGCGGCGGACGGGUGAGUAACACGUGGAUAACCUACCUAUAAGACUGGGAUAACUUCGGGAAACCGGAGCUAAUACCGGAUAAUAUUUUGAACCGCAUGGUUCAAAAGUUAAAGACGGUCUUGCUGUCACUUAUAGAUGGAUCCGCGCUGCAUUAGCUAGUUGGUAAGGUAACGGCUUACCAAGGCAACGAUGCAUAGCCGACCUGAGAGGGUGAUCGGCCACACUGGAACUGAGACACGGUCCAGACUCCUACGGGAGGCAGCAGUAGGGAAUCUUCCGCAAUGGGCGAAAGCCUGACGGAGCAACGCCGCGUGAGUGAUGAAGGUCUUCGGAUCGUAAAACUCUGUUAUUAGGGAAGAACAUAUGUGUAAGUAACUGUGCACAUCUUGACGGUACCUAAGCAGAAAGCCACGGCAAACUACGU
RNAcentral lists this ribosomal RNA (496 nucleotides) under uncultured bacterium. RNAcentral describes it as "partial 16S ribosomal RNA". It matches the Rfam family "Bacterial small subunit ribosomal RNA", at positions 28 to 506 of the family's 1533-position model. The record is from RNAcentral.